UAUUGCACAAUGGGGGAAACCCUGAUGCAGCGACGCCGCGUGAGUGAAGAAGCGUUUCGGCGCGUAAAGCUCUGUCAGCGGGGAAGAAACACGGUUCGCGAGAGCCGCGGACGGUACCCGACCAAGAAGCCCCGGCUAACUACGUGCCAGCAGCCGCGGUAAUACGUAGGGGGCAAGCGUUAUCCGGAUUCACUGGGUGUAAAGGGAGCGUAGACGGCGACGCAAGUCUGGAGUGAAAGCCCGGGGCCCAACCCCGGGACUGCUCUGGAAACUGCGUCGCUGGAGUACGGGAGGGGCAGGCGGAAUUCCUGGUGUAGCGGUGAAAUGCGUAGAUAUCAGGAGGAACACCGGCGGCGAAGGCGGCCUGCUGGACCGUGACUGACGUUGAGGCUCGAGAGCGUGGGGAGCAAACAGG
RNAcentral lists this ribosomal RNA (415 nucleotides) under uncultured bacterium. Its description in RNAcentral is "bacterial SSU rRNA". It matches the Rfam family "Bacterial small subunit ribosomal RNA", at positions 362 to 776 of the family's 1533-position model. The record is from RNAcentral.